GGGCGGCAAGCCUGAUGCAGCCAUGCCGCGUGUAUGAAGAAGGACCUUCGGUUGUAAAGUAACUUUCUAGCAGUGAGGAAGGUGGGUAGUGUUAAUAGCAUACUCAUUUGACGUUAGCUGCAGAAGAAGCACCGGCGUAACUCCGUGCCAGCAGCGCGGUAUACGGAGGGUGCGAGCGUUAAUCGGAAUUACUGGGCGUAAAGCGCAUGCAGGUGGUUUGUUAAGUCAGAUGUGAAAGCCCGGGGCUCAACCUCGGAAUUGCAUUUGAAACUGGCAAACUAGAGUACUGUAGAGGGGGUAGAAUUUCAGGUGUAGCGGUGAAAUGCGUAGAGAUCUGAAGGAAUACCGGUGGCGAAGGCGGCCCCCUGGACAGAUACUGACACUCAGAUGCGAAAGCGUGGGGAGCAAACAGGAUUAGCUACCCUGGUAG
This 430-nucleotide ribosomal RNA is filed under the name uncultured bacterium. RNAcentral's name for it is "bacterial SSU rRNA". It matches the Rfam family "Bacterial small subunit ribosomal RNA", at positions 373 to 793 of the family's 1533-position model. The record is from RNAcentral.